This 68-nucleotide transfer RNA is filed under the name Marmota monax (woodchuck). RNAcentral's name for it is "tRNA.Ala". The record is from RNAcentral. Lineage: Eukaryota; Metazoa; Chordata; Mammalia; Rodentia; Sciuridae.
GGACUGUGGCUCAGUGAUAGAGUGCUCACCUGGCAUUUGUGAGGCACCGGGUUCGAUCCUCAGCACCA